CAGUAGCCGCGGGAAUACGUAGGUGGCAAGCGUUGUCCGGAAUUAUUGGGCGUAAAGGGUGCGUAGGCGGCCCCGCAAGUCUCAUGUGAAAUCUUCAGGCUCAACUUGAAGUCUGCAUGGGAAACUGCGGGGCUGGAGUAUGGGAGAGGUGAGUGGAAUUCCUGGUGUAGCGGUGAAAUGCGUAGAUAUCAGGAGGAACACCUGUGGCGAAAGCGGCUCACUGGACCAUAACUGACGCUGAGGCACGAAAGCUAGGGGAGCAAACAGGAUUAGAUACCCCGGUAGUCCCUGUCUCUUAUAC
This 301-nucleotide ribosomal RNA is filed under the name uncultured bacterium. Its description in RNAcentral is "partial 16S ribosomal RNA". It matches the Rfam family "Bacterial small subunit ribosomal RNA", at positions 509 to 807 of the family's 1533-position model. The record is from RNAcentral.